This is a non-coding RNA of Salvia hispanica, 2464 nucleotides long. NCBI's taxonomy places the organism in Eukaryota, Viridiplantae, Streptophyta, Magnoliopsida, Lamiales, Lamiaceae. The record is from RefSeq and is a predicted model, not a curated record.
UUUCACGAGCGAAGACUCGGUGCAGAGCAACAAGAAAAAAAAAAAAAGAAAAAAAAGUAUGCACUUGGAUCAUCAUUGAGUAGUUUCGUCGAGGAGAAGUUUUUCGUGCUGUUGAGGAGAGAGAGGGAGUCAAUUGAGAGAGAGAGAGAGAAAGUCUUCCCGGCGCGGUGUAAUAAUGGCGGAGGAGGAGAGCGUGAAGUUGUUCGUAGGUCAAGUGCCGAAGCACAUGACGGAAUCGCAGCUGCUCGCAAUGUUCCAGGAGUUCGCCUUGGUGGACGAAGUCAACAUUAUCAAGGACAAGGCUACGCGCGCUUCUCGGGGAUGUUGUUUUGUGAUAUGUCCGUCGAGAGAGGAAGCGGACAAGGCGAUUAGCGAGUGCCAUAAUAAGAAGACGCUGCCUGGGGCAUCUAGUCCAUUGCAAGUGAAGUACGCUGAUGGAGAGUUGGAAAGGCUAGAGCACAAACUCUUUAUCGGCAUGCUUCCGAAAAAUGUUUCUGAUGCUGAAGUCUCUGCACUAUUUUCAAAUUAUGGGACCAUAAAAGACUUGCAACUUCUUAGAGGUUAUCAGCAAACCAGCAAAGGUUGUGCUUUUCUAAAGUUUGAGACAAAAGAGCAAGCGCUCGCAGCUAUUGAAGCCCUCAAUGGAAAGCAUAAGAUUGAGGGUUCAACUGUUCCAUUGGUGGUUAAGUGGGCUGAUACAGAAAAGGAAAGACAGGCAAGGAGGGCUCAGAAAGCUCUAUCAUUGGCAUCUAAUGUGUCAAAUUCAGACUCCAGGCAACAUUUGUAUGGUGCUUUACCAAUGGGUUAUAUGUCUCCAUACAAUGGAUAUGGUUAUCAGACUCCUGGAACUUAUGGCCUCAUGCACUAUCGCCUGCCGCCAAUGCAGAAUCAGCAUGCGUACCACAAUCUUAUCCCACCAUUAAACCAAGGAAAUGCUAUACGUGGAGUAACACCUGAUCUUUCAUCGGGAAUGCCUCCGAGAAAUUUCUCCGUAUCACCUAAUUAUGUGGGAUCUGCUUAUCCCACUGUACAUGGGGUUCAGUAUCCCUUAACUUAUCAUGGAGGAAUGAUUAGUAACCGCCCACUUGGUGGUCCAUCUGGUUCUCUAUCACCAUCUACUGCAAAUAGUCAAUCUGCAGCAUCUUCAAGUGUCAGCACUAGCUCAGGCGGGCAGAAUGAAGGUCCACCUGGAGCUAAUUUGUUUAUUUACCACAUUCCUCAAGAAUUUGGCGAUGAUGAGCUUGCGAGCGCCUUUCAGCGUUUUGGUAGGGUAUUGAGUGCCAAAGUUUUUGUCGACAAAGCAACAGGCGUUAGCAAAUGUUUUGGAUUCGUUAGUUACGAUUCUCCAGUUGCGGCACAGAAUGCCAUUAACAUGAUGAAUGGCUUUCAGUUAGGUGGUAAGAAAUUGAAAGUUCAACUUAAGAGAGAUAAUAAGCAAAACAAGCCUUACUAACAAGGUAAGUUAUGGAUGAGAGCAAACCUCUCAAGCUUGAUGGUCACAGAAUUUCUCCAAAAAGGAUGCAAUUUGAGCGACUGGGGGUGGAUGUGAGACGAUUCAACAGUUUCAUGCAAUACUGUCCAUCCUUCUGGAUUGAAGUUCAAGACACUUCUUCUAUGAUGGUGGGCUAUCGCCUCUAAAAGUCUUCUAGAUUUUCGAUAGGUUCUAUAAAAAGCUGCCUCAAGUCGCUCGCCUGAAUAUCCAGUUUAAUAUUGAGUAUCCAAGUUUUUUUUUGUUCGACUGCAAGAGCUCAAAAGGUCCUCAGGGCAAGAACUGAAGUACUGAACUAAUUUAUCGAGCAUGUCUUGCUGAGCCAUAUUAAAUUAUCAGAGCAUGCCUUGCUAUUCAGGUAAACAAUUUGUACUCUUAUAAUCUUUCAUGGUCACCAUUUAUGUAACUCUCUAGUUUGAACAAGGUAGCAGUGCUUGUUAUUGUCUCACUGCCUCUAUCAGGAUUGUGUUUACGUGACAUUUCUAUUAAUCGCACAAACGACUAAAUGAAGGAUUUCGUAUAUUAUUAUGCUGGUAAUAAAGAGGAAAUAGUUUUUCCUUUAAGUAUGGUGGGCUGGUUGCCUUAUUUGUCCAGUUGUUUCAGUUACAAUUAUUCUGUUGAUAGGGAGAUUGUGUUUUCUAUUUUUUGGAGUCUUACAUAACCAAAUCGCAAUCCACAUUCCCAGUAGAAUGUUGUUUGAUCUGUGGUUUGUGCCUUAAUCAUUGUUUUUGCUGUCGUAGUCACAAACUUGCAUUCAUUUAUGAUUUUGUCUCUUUGGUAUUAAGGCUCUAGAUGUUUGGGUGAUUGUUCGUUUUUGCGUGGUGGUGUAGUUCCUGACAUGUCUACUUAAGUCGAGACGUGGAGAAAUUAAUCCCAUCUCAUCAAAGGUGGGUUAUUGCUUGCCAUAUUUUACAUUCUGGUAGUGUCGAGUUUAUGAAAGCUCAUUUAUAUGCGUGGCAUCAGUUUAUUCUUUCA